GCCUCUGAGGAUGAUUAAAUCAAACUUUCGUUCUUCUGAAAUAAUCCAUGUGGAAACCUUUUGGAGGCCUGAACUGAAGAGGC
This is a small nucleolar RNA of Telopea speciosissima, 83 nucleotides long. RefSeq annotates it as small nucleolar RNA Z159/U59. The transcript has a single exon. The record is from RefSeq and is a predicted model, not a curated record. NCBI's taxonomy places the organism in Eukaryota, Viridiplantae, Streptophyta, Magnoliopsida, Proteales, Proteaceae.